This 253-nucleotide ribosomal RNA is filed under the name uncultured bacterium. Its description in RNAcentral is "partial 16S ribosomal RNA". It matches the Rfam family "Bacterial small subunit ribosomal RNA", at positions 524 to 776 of the family's 1533-position model. The record is from RNAcentral.
GACAGAGGAUGCAAGCGUUAUCCGGAAUGAUUGGGCGUAAAGCGUCUGUAGGGGGCUUUUCAAGUCCGCCGUCAAAUCCCAGGGCUCAACCCUGGACAGGCGGUGGAAACUACCAAGCUGGAGUACGGUAGGGGCAGAGGGAAUUUCCGGUGGAGCGGUGAAAUGCGCAGAUAUCGGGAGGAACACCGGUGGCGAAGGCGGUUCUCUGGGCCUGUACUGACGCUGAGGAGCGAAAGCGUGGGGAGCGAACAGG